Podarcis lilfordi (Lilford's wall lizard) is the source of this 207-nucleotide non-coding RNA. NCBI's taxonomy places the organism in Eukaryota, Metazoa, Chordata, Lepidosauria, Squamata, Lacertidae. The record is from the annotation of a GenBank genome assembly.
GCAGCAGUAACGGCACUGGCCUGAGAGGCCUUGCAGUGGCGGCAGGAUUUGGCAGCAGAAGUGGCAGCAGCCUGCAAGUCCUCCUGGCGGUAGUGGGAGGCGGUGGCAGAAGCUGUGGCGACCUGCCUCAGCUUCUGCCGCUGUCUCCUGCUGCCACUGCAAGGCCUCACAGGCCGCCACUACUGCCACCGCCAUGGCAAGGCAUUG